Molecule: small RNA, 83 nt
Filed under: Caulobacter vibrioides NA1000
Lineage: Bacteria; Pseudomonadati; Pseudomonadota; Alphaproteobacteria; Caulobacterales; Caulobacteraceae
Description: small non-coding RNA
Source: RNAcentral
UCGAUCGUUACCGGUCCGAACAUGGCCGGUAAGUCGACCUUCCUGCGCCAGAACGCCCUGCUGGCGAUCCUGGCUCAGUCGGG